Molecule: unclassified non-coding RNA, 399 nt
Filed under: fungal sp.
Lineage: Eukaryota; Fungi
Description: partial internal transcribed spacer region
Rfam family: Eukaryotic small subunit ribosomal RNA (bases 1-46)
Source: RNAcentral
AAGUCGUAACAAGGUAACCGUAGGUGAACCUGCGGUUGGAUCAUUAAAAAAUCUAACAAAAAAAGGCUCUUUCGAAAGAAAGCUAGGCUCUUUUUUUAACAUUUUUGUGCACUGUAAAUUUAAUUAUCUAGCGGGGGUAUAUUUUAUAGGCUAAAAGUAGUUUAAUUUUUUAGGCUUAGGUUAACUUUUGUUAAUUUAGGCUGAAGAAAUUAAAUUAUUUAGGCUGGAGUUUAAAAAAAGAUUAGGCUACGUUAAUUUUAUUAGCGUAAACUAAAAUUUAUUUAAGCUUUACCCGCUAGUUAAAUUUUUAAACUUAUAUAUUUUUAUUAGCCUUUAGAUUAAAAUUUUAAAAAGUUUAACUUAAAAAAAUAACUUUUGACAACGGAUCUCUAGGCUCUC